Molecule: ribosomal RNA, 142 nt
Filed under: uncultured bacterium
Lineage: Bacteria
Description: partial 16S ribosomal RNA
Source: RNAcentral
GACGCAGCACUGCGCGUGUGUGAAGAAGGCCUUCGGGUCGUAAACUACUGUCCUCGGAGAGAUGACUUUGAGAGUCACUGUUCUUGUGUGACCUUACCCUACCCCAAAGGAACGGCUAAUACGUGCCAGCAGCCGCGGUAAU